Phyllostomus hastatus (greater spear-nosed bat) is the source of this 483-nucleotide non-coding RNA. NCBI's taxonomy places the organism in Eukaryota, Metazoa, Chordata, Mammalia, Chiroptera, Phyllostomidae. The record is from the annotation of a RefSeq genome assembly.
AGGAGCAGCCUGCUCACCAUGGCCUGGGCCCCCGUGCUCCUCAUGCUGCUCUGUCACUGCACAGGUUCCCUCUCCCAGCCUGUGCUGACUCAGCCGCCAUCUGUGUCUGCAUCUCCUGGAGCCACAGCCAGACUCACCUGCACCCUCAGCAGUGGUUUUGUUGUUGGUGGCUACUACAUACAAUGGUUCCAGCAGAAGCCAGGGAGCCCUCCCCGGUAUCUCCUGUCGUAUAAAUCAGACUCAAACAAGCACCAGGGCUCCGGCGUCCCCAGCCGCUUCUCUGGAUCCAAAGACUCCUCGGCCAAUGCAGGGCUCCUGACCAUCUCUGGGCUGCAGCCUGAGGACGAGGCCGACUAUUACUGUGCUACAUGCCACAGCAACAGUAAUACUUACACGGUGCUCCAGGGUCACGGGGAAGGGAAGCAGGUUUCUCUGGCUCCAGACAUGCUGACCCACCACAAUCUCCUCUACAUUGAAAUAUGA